CAUUGUUGGGCUGAAAGAUGAACUGUCACCCCAGUCUGAGUAUAAAUCUGCAGAGGAAAACUGCGAGGCGGCAGUGCGCUGCGUGAAGGGAAUUCACAGCAAUGGAGUUUGUCUCCGUGUUGGUCUGCGCGUUUUUGGUCAGUGCCGUCAGUGGCGGUCCUCAUGACGACAUCCACUGGACAUACACAGAGGGAGCCUUGGACCAGAAGCACUGGCCGAUGAAAUAUCCUGCAUGUGGUGGAAAGAAGCAGUCUCCCAUAGACAUCCAACGGGGCAAAGUCAGACACAACCCAGACAUCCUGCAGCUGGAGCUCAGUGGAUAU
Molecule: long non-coding RNA, 323 nt
Organism: Thalassophryne amazonica
Lineage: Eukaryota; Metazoa; Chordata; Actinopteri; Batrachoidiformes; Batrachoididae
Exons: 3
Source: RefSeq, a predicted model, not a curated record